Molecule: ribosomal RNA, 424 nt
Filed under: uncultured bacterium
Lineage: Bacteria
Description: bacterial SSU rRNA
Rfam family: Bacterial small subunit ribosomal RNA
Source: RNAcentral
UCGGGAAUUUUGGGCAAUGGGCGAAAGCCUGACCCAGCAACGCCGCGUGAAGGAUGAAAUCCCUCGGGAUGUAAACUUCGCAAGAACGGGAAGAAUAAGCCUGUGUGAAUAUCGCAGGUGAUGACGGUACCGUUUGUAAGCUCCGGCUAACUCCGUGCCAGCAGCCGCGGUAAUACGGAGGGUGCGAGCGUUGUCCGGAAUCACUGGGCGUAAAGGGCGCGUAGGUGGCCUGUGGAAGUCUGCGGUGAAAGCCCGGCGCUCAACGCCGGGUCGGCCGUGGAUACUCUCGGGCUUGAGCUCACUAGAGGCAGAUGGAAUUCCGGGUGUAGCGGUGGAAUGCGUAGAGAUCCGGAAGAACACCGGUGGCGAAGGCGGUCUGCUGGGGUGAUGCUGACACUGAUGCGCGACAGCGUUGGGAGCAAAC